This 1283-nucleotide ribosomal RNA is filed under the name Kirschsteiniothelia dujuanhuensis. RNAcentral's name for it is "Kirschsteiniothelia sp. HS-2023a partial large subunit ribosomal RNA". It matches the Rfam family "Eukaryotic large subunit ribosomal RNA", at positions 90 to 1392 of the family's 3401-position model. The record is from RNAcentral. Lineage: Eukaryota; Fungi; Ascomycota; Dothideomycetes; Kirschsteiniotheliales; Kirschsteiniotheliaceae.
CGAGUGAAGCGGCAGCAGCCCAAAUUUGAAAUCUGGCCCCGUCCGGGGCUCGAGUUGUAGUUUGGAGAGGAUGCCUCGGCGAGGCCGCCAGUCGAAGUCCCCUGGAACGGGGCGUCACAGAGGGUGAGAAUCCCGUCCGUGGCCGGCGGCCGCCGCCGUGCGAGGCUCCCUCGACGAGUCGAGUUGUUUGGGAAUGCAGCUCUAAGCGGGAGGUAAAUUCCUUCUAAGGCUAAACAUCCGCCAGAGACCGAUAGCGCACAAGUAGAGUGAUCGAAAGGUGAAAAGCACUUUGAAAAGAGGGUGACACAGCACGUGAAAUUGUUGAAGGGGAAGCGCUUGCAGCCAGAGCGGGCCGCGGGGGCUCCGCCCGUCCUCGGACGGGCGCCCUCCCUCGCGGUCCAGCCAGCAUCAGCUCGGCCGGCCGGACAAAGGCCGCGGGAAUGUGGCACCUCCGGGUGUGUUAGAGCCCGCGGCACAAUGCGGCCUGGCCGGGCUGAGGACAGCGCCGUUGGCACGGAUGCUGGCGUAAUGGCUGUCAGCGGCCCGUCUUGAAACACGGACCAAGGAGUCCAGCAUCCAUGCGAGUGUGUGGGUGUCAAGCCCGCGAGCGGAAUGAAAGUGAACGGAGGUGGGAGCCCCUCGGGGCGCACCAUCGACCGAUCCUGAUGUCCUCGGAUGGAUUUGAGUAUGAGCAUGGCUGUUGGGACCCGAAAGAUGGUGAACUAUGCCUGACUAGGGUGAAGCCAGAGGAAACUCUGGUGGAGGCUCGCAGCGGUUCUGACGUGCAAAUCGAUCGUCAAAGCUGGGCAUAGGGGCGAAAGACUAAUCGAACCGUCUAGUAGCUGGUUCCUGCCGAAGUUUCCCUCAGGAUAGCAGCCGCGGCGUCGAGUUUUAUGAGGUAAAGCGAAUGAUUAGAGGCCUGGGGGUUGAAACAACCUUCACCUAUUCUCAAACUUUAAAUAUGUAAGAAGCCCUUGUUGCUUAGUUGAACGUGGGCAUUCGAAUCGAUCGCGGCUAGUGGGCCAUUUUUGGUAAGCAGAACUGGCGAUGCGGGAUGAACCGAACGCGGGGUUACGGUGCCAGAGUGCACGCUCAUCAGACACCACAAAAGGUGUUGGUUCAUCUAGACAGCAGGACGGUGGCCAUGGAAGUCGGAAUCCGCUAAGGAGUGUGUAACAACUCACCUGCCGAAUGAACCAGCCCUGAAAAUGGAUGGCGCUCAAGCGUGCCACCUAUACCCCGCCGCCCGGGCGGGCUCGGUGCCCGGGCGAGUAGGCAGGCGU